RNAcentral lists this unclassified non-coding RNA (531 nucleotides) under Hevea brasiliensis (rubber tree). The record is from RNAcentral. Lineage: Eukaryota; Viridiplantae; Streptophyta; Magnoliopsida; Malpighiales; Euphorbiaceae.
AAAAAAACUCAUCCGUUUUCUCUCUCGUCAUCAGUUUUAGGGUUUGAUAUUUAUCAUCGACCGACUAUGUCUACUCCGACGAAGAUCUUGUUGAAGAGUUCUGAUGGUGAGGUUUUCGAGGUGGAUGAGGCGGUUGCUUUGGAAUCGCAGACCAUCAAGCACUUGAUUGAGGACGAUUGCGCCGGCUCUAACAUCCCUCUCCCUAAUGUUACAAGCAAGAUCUUGGCAAAGGUGAUUGAGUACUCUAAGCGCCAUGUCGAAGCCUCGUCUAAGACAGAGGACAAGGCCGCUGAGGAUGAAUUGAAGGUCUUUGAUGCUGAAUUUGUUAAAGUUGAUCAGGGAACUCUUUUUGAUCUGAUUCUGGCGGCUAACUACCUGAAUAUCAAGAGUCUGCUUGAUCUGACCUGUCAGACUGUGGCAGACAUGAUCAAAGGAAAGACUUCGGAGGAGAUUCGAAAGACUUUUAACAUCAAGAACGACUUCACUCCGGAGGAAGAGGAGGAGGUCAGGAGGGAGAAUGCUUGGGCAUUU